GUACCCGCAAAGUUCUUUGAAAAGUAGAUAAACAUGGUAAAGAGAGCGCAACGAAGAAAAUGAGGGCGCACAGUGGAUGCCU
RNAcentral lists this ribosomal RNA (82 nucleotides) under Banana wilt phytoplasma. RNAcentral's name for it is "Banana wilt associated phytoplasma partial 23S ribosomal RNA". Lineage: Bacteria; Bacillati; Mycoplasmatota; Mollicutes; Acholeplasmatales; Acholeplasmataceae. The record is from RNAcentral.